AUAUCAUGUUGAGGGCAAUUCCUUAACAACCCCUUGUAGCGCUCCCAAGCUUCAUAUAAUGACUCCCCCGGUUGUUGCUCAAAGUUUUCUAUUGCCUUCAUGAGUUU
Molecule: small nucleolar RNA, 107 nt
Organism: Lactuca sativa (garden lettuce)
Lineage: Eukaryota; Viridiplantae; Streptophyta; Magnoliopsida; Asterales; Asteraceae
Source: RefSeq, a predicted model, not a curated record